Molecule: transfer RNA, 90 nt
Filed under: endosymbiont of unidentified scaly snail isolate Monju
Lineage: Bacteria; Pseudomonadati; Pseudomonadota; Gammaproteobacteria
Rfam family: tRNA
About the family: Transfer RNA (tRNA) molecules are approximately 80 nucleotides in length.
Source: Rfam by way of RNAcentral
GGAGAGUUGGCCGAGUGGCUGAAGGCGCUCCCCUGCUAAGGGAGUAUGGGGUUAAUAGCUCCAUCGAGGGUUCGAAUCCCUCACUCUCCG